UAUUGGACAAUGGGCGCAAGCCUGAUCCAGCCAUGCCGCGUGCAGGAAGACUGCCCUAUGGGUUGUAAACUGCUUUUAAACGGGAAGAAACCCUCCGACGUGUCGGAGUUUGACGGUACCGUAAGAAUAAGCAUCGGCUAACUCCGUGCCAGCAGCCGCGGUAAUACGGAGGAUGCGAGCGUUAUCCGGAAUCAUUGGGUUUAAAGGGUCCGUAGGCGGGUUAGUAAGUCAGUGGUGAAAUCCGGCAGCUUAACUGUCGAAUUGCCGUUGAUACUGCUAGUCUUGAAUUACUGUGAAGUGGUUAGAAUAUGUAGUGUAGCGGUGAAAUGCUUAGAUAUUACAUGGAAUAUCGAUUGCGAAGGCAGAUCACUAACAGUAUAUUGACGCUGAUGGACGAAAGCGUGGGGAGCAAACAGG
Molecule: ribosomal RNA, 417 nt
Filed under: uncultured bacterium
Lineage: Bacteria
Description: bacterial SSU rRNA
Rfam family: Bacterial small subunit ribosomal RNA
Source: RNAcentral